Molecule: non-coding RNA, 677 nt
Organism: Doryrhamphus excisus (bluestripe pipefish)
Lineage: Eukaryota; Metazoa; Chordata; Actinopteri; Syngnathiformes; Syngnathidae
Source: RefSeq, a predicted model, not a curated record
GGGCGGAGUUUCCACAUACGCGUCAUCGUGACUAUUAAAGAUGGCGGGCUAGGAAUAGACCUUUACACUCGUGACACCUGAUCGCUGGCUGCUGUUUCUUCGCUAGAAGCAUACAAGGGAGAUUUAAGAGACAAUUUGUUGUCUUUUGUGGACGCUUUUUUGAGACACGGUGAAAAUAUGACAAAACAAGCUUUGACAUCCAAUCCUCCUGCUCCCCCUCUCCCGACCUCUGACCCCACUGACAUGGUGGGUCUGCAGCUGCGUCACCUAGGAGACCAGCUCUACUGGACAUACUGCCUGCUGAGGGUACUGAUGAGGGAUGACAAGAGACUCGUCAAGUCCGACGGCACCUGACGGCGUGGUGCCUUCACAGGCUGUACAUAGAGGAAAGCCACCUGGAAGAGGCGGAAUUUGAUAAGGGAUGUGAAUAUGAUUGAACACCCUGAUGGAGAAACGGGAUGCGGUCACCAGGCAGGACGUGUGCUGGUCGAGCCAAAAAGAGACACCGGAUUGGAGGCUUCAUGUCAAAGAUGGUGACUGUCUUAGCGAGUGGAUUGCUGUGAAGACAUUUCUUUUCUGAGCGUAUCAUGUGUCGCUUUUCAACGCAUAUGGUCCUGUGAAUUUUUAUUAAUGGGAGGUGCAUUUGCACAUUAUAAUAAAGACAACACUUACAGUUU